Molecule: ribosomal RNA, 440 nt
Filed under: uncultured bacterium
Lineage: Bacteria
Description: partial 16S ribosomal RNA
Rfam family: Bacterial small subunit ribosomal RNA
Source: RNAcentral
CCUACGGGGGGCAGCAGUGGGGAAUAUUGCACAAUGGGGGAAACCCUGAUGCAGCGACGCCGCGUGAGUGAAGAAGUAUUUCGGGAUGUAAAGCUCUAUCAGCGGGGAAGAAAGUGACAGUACCUGAUUAAGAAGCCCCUGCUAACUACGUGCCAGGAACCGCGGUAAUACGUAGGGGGCAAGCGUUAUCCGGAUUUACUGGGUGUAAGGGGAGCGGGGACGGCAGCACAAGUCUGGUGUGAAAUGCCGGGGCUUAACCCCGGAACUGCUUUGGAAACUGUGCAGCUAGAGUGCAGGAGAGGGAAGUGGAAUUCCAAGUGUAGCGGUGAAAUGCGUAGAUAUUAGGAGGAAUACCAGUGGCGAAGGCGGCCUACUGGACUGUAACUGACGUUGAGGUUCGAAAGCGUGGGGAGCAAACAGGAUUAGAUACCCGUGUAGUC